This 459-nucleotide ribosomal RNA is filed under the name uncultured bacterium. Its description in RNAcentral is "partial 16S ribosomal RNA". It matches the Rfam family "Bacterial small subunit ribosomal RNA", at positions 338 to 795 of the family's 1533-position model. The record is from RNAcentral.
CCUACGGGAGGCAGCAGUGAGGAAUAUUGGUCAAUGGUCGGGAGACUGAACCAGCCAAGCCGCGUGAGGGAUGAAGGUACAGAGUAUCGUAAACCUCUUUUGUCAGGGAACAAAGGCGGGGACGCGUCCCCGGAUGAGUGUACCUGAAGAAAAAGCAUCGGCUAACUCCGUGCCAGCAGCCGAGGUAAUACGGAGGAUGCGAGCGUUAUCCGGUUUUAUGGGGUUUAAAGGGUGCGCAGGCGGUCUGUUAAGUCAGCGGUCAAAGCCCGGGGCUCAACCCCGGCCCGCCGUUGAAACUGGCAGUCUCGAGUGGGAGAGAAGUAUGCGGAAUGCGCGGUGUAGCGGUGAAAUGCAUAGAUAUCGCGCAGAACUCCGAUUGCGAAGGCAGCAUGCCGGCUCCACACUGACGCUGAGGCACGAAAGCGUGGGUAUCGAACAGGAUUAGAUACCCGGGUAGUC